Molecule: ribosomal RNA, 663 nt
Filed under: uncultured Staphylococcus sp.
Lineage: Bacteria; Bacillati; Bacillota; Bacilli; Caryophanales; Staphylococcaceae
Description: bacterial SSU rRNA
Rfam family: Bacterial small subunit ribosomal RNA
Source: RNAcentral
GUCGAGCGAACAGACGAGGAGCUUGCUCCUCUGACGUUAGCGGCGGACGGGUGAGUAACACGUGGAUAACCUACCUAUAAGACUGGGAUAACUUCGGGAAACCGGAGCUAAUACCGGAUAAUAUAUUGAACCGCAUGGUUCAAUAGUGAAAGACGGUUUUGCUGUCACUUAUAGAUGGAUCCGCGCCGCAUUAGCUAGUUGGUAAGGUAACGGCUUACCAAGGCGACGAUGCGUAGCCGACCUGAGAGGGUGAUCGGCCACACUGGAACUGAGACACGGUCCAGACUCCUACGGGAGGCAGCAGUAGGGAAUCUUCCGCAAUGGGCGAAAGCCUGACGGAGCAACGCCGCGUGAGUGAUGAAGGUCUUCGGAUCGUAAAACUCUGUUAUUAGGGAAGAACAAAUGUGUAAGUAACUAUGCACGUCUUGACGGUACCUAAUCAGAAAGCCACGGCUAACUACGUGCCAGCAGCCGCGGUAAUACGUAGGUGGCAAGCGUUAUCCGGAAUUAUUGGGCGUAAAGCGCGCGUAGGCGGUUUUUUAAGUCUGAUGUGAAAGCCCACGGCUCAACCGUGGAGGGUCAUUGGAAACUGGAAAACUUGAGUGCAGAAGAGGAAAGUGGAAUUCCAUGUGUAGCGGUGAAAUGCGCAGAGAUAUGGAGGAA